GACGAACGCUGGCGGCGUGCUUAACACAUGCAAGUCGAACGGAAAGGCCCCUUUGGGGGUACUCGAGUGGCGAACGGGUGAGUAACACGUGCGUAACCUGCCCUUGCCUUCGGGAUAACUUCAGGAAACUGGGGCUAAUACCGGAUAGGAAUCCUUGCUGCAUGGUGGGGGUUGGAAAGCUUCGGCGGUUUUGGAUGGACUCGCGGCUUAUCAGCUUGUUGGUGGGGUAGUGGCUUACCAAGGCUUUGACGGGUAGCCGGCCUGAGGGGGCGACCGGCCACAUUGGGACUGAGGUACGGCCCAGACUCCUACGGGAGGCAGCAGUGGGGAAUAUUGCACAAUGGGCGGAAGCCUGAUGCAGCAACGCCGCGGGCGGGAUGACGGCCUUCGGGUUGUAAACCGCUUUCAGCAGGGGCGAAGCUUGUGGUGACGGUACCUGCAGAAGAAGCACCGGCUAACUACGUG
Molecule: ribosomal RNA, 465 nt
Filed under: uncultured bacterium
Lineage: Bacteria
Description: partial 16S ribosomal RNA
Rfam family: Bacterial small subunit ribosomal RNA
Source: RNAcentral